This is a long non-coding RNA of Amphimedon queenslandica, 90 nucleotides long. RefSeq lists it as uncharacterized. The record is from RefSeq and is a predicted model, not a curated record. The transcript is spliced from 2 exons. Lineage: Eukaryota; Metazoa; Porifera; Demospongiae; Haplosclerida; Niphatidae.
AGGCAAAUUUUAUUAAGAGAAACUGAACAUUUACAAUCUACUCUGAGGAUCAGAAUAAGUCGAAAGGAAGUACUACAAGACAAUGAAAAA